RNAcentral lists this ribosomal RNA (274 nucleotides) under uncultured bacterium. RNAcentral describes it as "partial 16S ribosomal RNA". It matches the Rfam family "Bacterial small subunit ribosomal RNA", at positions 523 to 796 of the family's 1533-position model. The record is from RNAcentral.
AUACGGGGGGUGCAAGCGUUAAUCGGAAUUACUGGGCGUAAAGCGCGCGUAGGCGGUUUGCUCAGUCGGAUGUGAGAGCCCAGGGCUCAACCUUGGAACUGCAUACGAUACUGGCAAACUAGAGUGUGAGAGAGGAUAGUGGGAUUUCCGGUGUAGCGGUGAAAUGCGUAGAUAUCGGAAGGAACAUCAGUGGCGAAGGCGACUGUCUGGCUCAACACUGACGCUGAGGUGCGAAAGCGUGGGUAGCAAACAGGAUUAGAUACCCCAGUAGUCC